GAGAGUGGAAUUCCACGUGUAGCGGUGAAAUGCGUAGAGAUGUGGAGGAACACCAGUGGCGAAGGCGACUCUCUGGUCUGUAACUGACGCUGAGGAGCGAAAGCGUGGGGAGCGAACAGGAUUAGAUACCCUGGUAGUCCACGCCGUAAACGAUGAGUGCUAAGUGUUAGGGGGUUUCCGCCCCUUAGUGCUGCAGCUAACGCAUUAAGCACUCCGCCUGGGGAGUACGGUCGCAAGACUGAAACUCAAAGGAAUUGACGGGGGCCCGCACAAGCGGUGGAGCAUGUGGUUUAAUUCGAAGCAACGCGAAGAACCUUACCAGGUCUUGACAUCCUCUGACAACCCUAGAGAUAGGGCUUUCCCUUCGGGGACAGAGUGACAGGUGGUGCAUGGUUGUCGUCAGCUCGUGUCGUGAGAUGUUGGGUUAAGUCCCGCAACGAGCGCAACCCUUGAUCUUAGUUGCCAGCAUUCAGUUGGGCACUCUAAGGUGACUGCCGGUGACAAACCGGAGGAAGGUGGGGAUGACGUCAAAUCAUCAUGCCCCUUAUGACCUGGGCUACACACGUGCUACAAUGGACAGAACAAAGGGCUGCGAGACCGCAAGGUUUAGCCAAUCCCACAAAUCUGUUCUCAGUUCGGAUCGCAGUCUGCAACUCGACUGCGUGAAGC
RNAcentral lists this ribosomal RNA (669 nucleotides) under Bacillus pumilus. RNAcentral's name for it is "bacterial SSU rRNA". It matches the Rfam family "Bacterial small subunit ribosomal RNA", at positions 657 to 1326 of the family's 1533-position model. Lineage: Bacteria; Bacillati; Bacillota; Bacilli; Caryophanales; Bacillaceae. The record is from RNAcentral.